Long non-coding RNA from Scylla paramamosain (green mud crab), 1599 nucleotides. RefSeq lists it as uncharacterized. The transcript has 3 exons. The record is from RefSeq and is a predicted model, not a curated record. Lineage: Eukaryota; Metazoa; Arthropoda; Malacostraca; Decapoda; Portunidae.
CAUAAGUGAUGCGUAUGAUGUAAAAUGUACACUACUUGCUGCAACCUACGUUAAAAGGGUUUUAUUUGUAUCAUUUUGUACAAGAUAGAUGUAAUAGCAAAGGUGAAUUUAGUAUAAAGAAUUUUGAUAAUGUAGCGAUUAUAAUCCUUCAUAUUACGUAUUUAAUAUUAAACUUUCAGCCUCACGCAUUUAUUGGAACUGAAGCAUGAACACAGUUUAAAAGUUUUGAUCUGUUGUUGAAAUUAACCCGACAAUGCAAUACCAGGCCUACAUCAUUGAGACUAAACUUUAUUGUGCACUAUUUUCUUUUUUUUAUUUAAUAGUAGACACUGACUCGAUGGUGCUUCAUGAAUCUAAACAGUACACUGAGCGUCACGAGGUCAGGUACGAUGAUUUGGUCAACUCAGGACACCUGAGCGUCGGAGCGUUGUCAGUGCCCUACCCACUCACUUCUUGGCUAAACUUAUUCCUGUCCUUUGAAACGUGCUGCAGAUUGACUUCGUAUUCACACCAGAUCAUUUGUUCUUCUCUGAGGUUUUAGGUUGUCCGGACACACACGAGGCGGCGUCUGACAAGCAUACUGUACAAGGGGAGUGGUAGGAAUGUGAAGUCGAUUUGCUGCGCGCUUCCAAGCAAGACAAGAAUGUGGAAACCAAUCCACGUGUUCAAAACCUCUGUACACACGUGGAUGUAGAGAAGACUGCCGUGGCCCUUUCCGCAGCCGCCAGGACGCUGUGGCGCACCGCCUUACAAGUGGCAAGGAGCAGCCUGUCCCUGCAGCUGGUAUGAGAGGUGACACACGAGCGUCGUCGUUCCAUACUCCGAGAUGGGCGGUGAAACGCACUGUGGUGACUUCUGCUCUCCACCUCUUCACCAAUGCUCAGUCAAGAGUCUGUUCCGGCGAGACCUCCCGAUCUAGUCUACUCCUUUUUCGAGUCUGGAAAGUUCCGCAUUAAAAGUUAGGCUACAAAAGCUUAGGUUACAAAAUUAUGUUAAUGCUUUUUUUCUUGGGUCUUCCGAUCAAUUUUUCAGCAACCACGAGACAUCGAAGAAAAAAGAAAGGUCUUAAUUAACCUUCUUUAUUUAUUUAUUUUUUUGUACGUUACUCCUCUCCUUUUUACUUAACUUUUUAUUUCGCUCUGUUUUGUUCGUGUUGUAUAAUUAGCAAAUGAAAAAAUGGAAGACGGGAAGAACGAGGACAGAAAAACCGAAAUGAAAACAAAAAUCCUAAAGUGAAAAUGGAAAACGGAAAAUUAGCCAGAAAAGGAGAUAAAAAUGUGAAAAUAGAUAGAAAGCUGCCCAAAUAUUUUAAAUAAAAUCCCUAUUUAUAUACCUAAAUCUUAUACUGCUUAGAUUAAGGAUGAAAAAUUUACCUCAAAUACCAUACAUACAGUCUAAAUCAAAAUGAACACAACCACAAACAAUAUUUAAUAUAUUAACUACAACUAUUAUAACGCUGGAUAUUUUUUUGUCUCCCUUUUAAAACUAACUAUAGAAAAUCCAUACAAGGCCCUGAGUUACUGUGUAUCUGUGUUUAGAGGUGUUGAGGAACUAUUGUGCAAAGCUUGUUACCGAAGAAAUGUUUCUGUUUACAAUUCA